Molecule: ribosomal RNA, 424 nt
Filed under: uncultured prokaryote
Description: bacterial SSU rRNA
Rfam family: Bacterial small subunit ribosomal RNA
Source: RNAcentral
UAACGAAUAUUCCGCAAUGGGCGAAAGCCUGACGGAGCAAUGCCGCGUGUGGGAUGAAGCGCCUUCGGUGUGUAAACCACUGUCAGAAUCUAGGAACACUGACCAGAUUCAAAGGAAGGACCGGCUAAUUCCGUGCCAGCAGCCGCGGUAAUACGGAAGGUCCAAGCGUUAAUCGGAAUUACUGGGCUUAAAGCGUGCGCAGGCGGACCGGCAAGCGUCUUGUGAAAUCCCUCGGCUCAACCGGGGAACUGCAGGGCGAACUGCCGGUCUUGAGACAGGUAGGGGCCGACGGAACUAUCGGUGGAGCGGUGAAAUGCGUAGAUAUCGAUGGGAACGCCAGUGGCGAAGGCGGUCGGCUGGGCCUGUUCUGACGCUCAUGCACGAAAGCGUGGGGAGCGAACGGGAUUAGAUACCCCCGUAGUCC